Danio rerio (zebrafish) is the source of this 647-nucleotide non-coding RNA. Lineage: Eukaryota; Metazoa; Chordata; Actinopteri; Cypriniformes; Danionidae. The record is from RefSeq and is a predicted model, not a curated record.
AUUAAGGACAAAAUUUACACACGACCAGUUGCCCGUCUCAUUGUCCUUCCAGCCCUCUCAGAAUCAGAUGGAGAAUCCGCUCCCCUGUCAUGACUCACAAAGACAGUAAGCCUUUCUUAGGAACAAAUUGCAUGCAAUUUGGGGCGGCUGUGCGAAAGGCUGCAAAUAAGAGACUGUAACAGUGAUAUAAAGCAGUGCCUUACUCUGAAUCGCGGGGACUUUUAUUAUGACGCAUUGCCGCGCAUUGAUGUGGAGUGCUUCACAGUUCGGCGCACUUCCGAUUUCUCCGUGAAUCAGUCAUUACGUUCACUCAACGAGGAGAGAAACGAGCCGAGCGAAGUCUGGAGACUCACGGCUGUAUAUGAUUGCUGUUUGUUCCUGUUAGUUUAUAAAACUGUGUGCGUCCAGAGGAAAAACCACACACACACACACAAACACCACACACGGCUCUACAAGUUCAUACAUGCAUAGAUGUAUGCAAAGUUGGAUCUAUGCCGUCUUAAGGAAGAUUUAAGCACAAGGCAAUACAAUCAUCAUCAUCCAGUAUCCAUGCCCAUUCCAUGUAUGUUGUUAGAAGACGUUAACAUACAAGUUACAACUGGCUCCCCCUCUGCAUAUGACUGUAAUCAAUAAAUCAUUCAAGUAUA